Molecule: ribosomal RNA, 516 nt
Filed under: uncultured Glomus
Lineage: Eukaryota; Fungi; Glomeromycota; Glomeromycetes; Glomerales; Glomeraceae
Description: bacterial SSU rRNA
Rfam family: Eukaryotic small subunit ribosomal RNA
Source: RNAcentral
AGCAGCCGCGGUAAUUCCAGCUCCAAUAGCGUAUAUUAAAGUUGCCGCAGUUAAAAAGCUCGUAGUUGAAUUUCGGGACCAAUAUGCCGGUCGUGCCUCGGUACGUACUGGCAUCGUUGGUUUCUCCCUUCUGACGAACCAUGAUGUCAUUUAUUUGGUGUCGUGGGGAAUCAGGACUGUUACUUUGAAAAAAUUAGAGUGUUUAAAGCAGGCUCACGCUUGAAUACAUUAGCAUGGAAUAAUGAAAUAGGACGUUUGAUUCUAUUUUGUUGGUUUCUAGGAUCGACGUAAUGAUUAAUGGGGAUAGUUGGGGGCAUUAGUAUUCAAUUGUCAGAGGUGAAAUUCUUGGAUUUAUUGAAGACUAACUACUGCGAAAGCAUUUGCCAAGGAUGUUUUCAUUAAUCAAGAACGAAAGUUAGAGGUUCGAAGGCGAUCAGAUACCGCCCUAGUUCUAACCGUAAACGAUGCCAACCAGCGAUCUGUAGGGCAUAAAUUUAUGACCUACAGGAGCUUACC